UGUCCAGUGACAUGAGCCGCUUCCACCAUGCUGCCUAUCAUUGAGGACUGAGACUUCUAGCGUGCUGAUGCUCCUCUGCCGGGCUCCUCUGCCCUGCUGCCCUGUUUUCGAGCCAGCAGACCAUGGACUGAACCUUCUACAAACUAGUAACUCUACAAGGAAUUCAUUUCACAGAUGAAACGACUGAGUCCAAAGAGAGGCAACUGACUUGAAUAAAGGCCCAUUAAGCAGAACCCAGGUCAAGAAUCUGGGAGUAGCUUAUCUUCGUGCUCCUGGCUCGGUGGCUCUCUUGAAGGCAUACCCAGAUGGCCUGGAGGCUGCAGAAGUCCGAAGACUUGGGUGGGGCUGGAAAGCUCGCUUCCAAGAUGGCUCCCUCACGGGCUGUUGGAGGGAGGCUUUGGGCCCUUGCUGUAUGCGUCUCUCCAGAGGGCUGGUCAGAUGCCCCCAUGACAUGGGAGCUGGCUUUCUCCAGAAUGAAUGAUCUGUAAAAGCA
Long non-coding RNA from Chinchilla lanigera (long-tailed chinchilla), 493 nucleotides. RefSeq lists it as uncharacterized. The transcript is spliced from 4 exons. NCBI's taxonomy places the organism in Eukaryota, Metazoa, Chordata, Mammalia, Rodentia, Chinchillidae. The record is from RefSeq and is a predicted model, not a curated record.